UAUUUAGAUAGUUUUCUGCAUCAAAACCUACAAACUGGCACCCUGCGUAGGGCCGGCUUAAGGGAAAGGCCACCAAAGCCCUUGCUUUAGGCCCCCACUUGUUUUAGGCCCCCAAACCCGUUUGCCAUCUAUCUCUAUUGCAUCCAGCCAUCCACCAGCGAGAAGAUGAAUGGCACCCGAAAGGGAGAUGGAGAUGGCAAGAUGGCGAGAUGGGAGAUGGUGUGACAGGAGAUGGCCACCCCUAACAUCUAUCAGGGCUGUCUUCUCGUCGGAGAUGGUGAGAUGGGAGUCAUAGCCUCACAGGACUUGGGAGUGGUUCUUGGUGAAAAGGCAGAGGGCGUCAUUGGUGGAGAAGAGUGGGUGCCCGUUGGGGUCGCGGGCGAAGAAGUCGGCAAUUCGGACGAUGGGGUUGCUGGAGAGCUUGCAGAGGGAGGUCUCGAGGCGAACGAGGGUGACACCAGCAAGGAGGCCAUCAGAGACACCGACGACACUGCCGUUGAUGGAGAGGAUGCGGAUCCAUCUGACGGCUAUGGUCUGGCUUGAGGGGCAUUUUUCGAUCUCUGAUGGGGGACAUUCCAGAUUUGAGAGGCAUCUCUAGCGGUGGCGGAGUUUCAGGCUUUCGACAGCGGGUGGUUUCCGAGCUUUUGACGGCUGAGCGGUGGCAAGGAAGGUGGAAGGGUGCGACAGUAUUUAUUUUUUCUCUCUAAAGUUGCG
RNAcentral lists this long non-coding RNA (714 nucleotides) under Elaeis guineensis (African oil palm). Its description in RNAcentral is "long non-coding RNA (EGUI_LNC063148)". Lineage: Eukaryota; Viridiplantae; Streptophyta; Magnoliopsida; Arecales; Arecaceae. The record is from RNAcentral.